RNAcentral lists this ribosomal RNA (397 nucleotides) under Pinnularia ministomatophora. Its description in RNAcentral is "SSU rRNA". It matches the Rfam family "Eukaryotic small subunit ribosomal RNA", at positions 624 to 1028 of the family's 1831-position model. Lineage: Eukaryota; Bacillariophyta; Bacillariophyceae; Sellaphorales; Pinnulariaceae. The record is from RNAcentral.
AAGCUCGUAGUUGGAUGUGUGGUGCCUGGCGCGGUCCAAUAAUGUUUUGGUGCUGCGUUGAGGUGCCAUCUUUGGGUGGAACCUGUGGGGCAUUAGGUUGUUCUGCAGGGGAUGCCCAUCGUUUACUGUGAAAAAAUUAGAGUGUUCUAAGCAGGCUUACGCCGUUGAAUAGAUUAGCAUGGAAUAAUGAGAUAGGACUCUGGUGCUAUUUUGUUGGUUUGUGCGUCGGAGUAAUGAUUAAUAGGGACCGUUGGGGGUAUUCGUAUUCCAUUGUCAGAGGUGAAAUUCUUGGAUUUCUGGAAGACGAACUACUGCGAAAGCAUUUACCAAGGAUGUUUUCAUUAAUCAAGAACGAAAGUUAGGGGAUCGAAGAUGAUUAGAUACCAUCGUAGUCUUA